This 428-nucleotide ribosomal RNA is filed under the name uncultured bacterium. Its description in RNAcentral is "bacterial SSU rRNA". It matches the Rfam family "Bacterial small subunit ribosomal RNA", at positions 396 to 841 of the family's 1533-position model. The record is from RNAcentral.
CCCGCGUGGGAUGAUGAANGCCUUCGGNUUGUAAACUCCUUUCGAUAGGGACGAUAAUGACGGUACCUGUAGAAUAAGCCCCGGCUAACUUCGUGCCAGCAGCCGCGGUAAUACGAAGGGGGCUAGCGUUGCUCGGAAUGACUGGGCGUAAAGGGCGCGUAGGCGGUUCGACCAGUCUUAUGUGAAAUCCCCGGGCUCAACCUGAAGUCUGCAUGUGAUACUGGCGGGCUUGAGUGUGGAAGAGGUGAGUGGAAUUUCCGGUGUAGAGGUGAAAUGCGUAGAUAUCGGAAGGAACACCUGUGGCGAAAGCGGCUCACUGGACCAUAACUGACGCUGAUGCACGAAAGCUUGGGGAGCAAACAGGAUUAGAUACCCUGGUAGUCCNNGCCCUAAACGAUGNNUGCUGGAUGUGGGGGANCCCNAUCCUC